CGCGCCCCGGCCUGGGAUUUCCCCUUUGACACUGGCUAUCUGCCUUUUCUAGAUUCUGCGGUAAGACUGAAAAAUAAACAUCACUUAAAGGAAAGAAAGAAAGACCUCGGCGAGGCCGUCGCUGCCGUCCCUGUCUGCGUGCUCUCCACCCGCCAAGUGCACGCGGGUUCUCCACGCAUCCGCGUCCUGCGCGGCAGCCCUUUCCCGCCCUUAGCGCCUCUCUGGCUGAAGUUUCCAGAACCUGGAUUCUGUUGGCCAAUUCACGUUCCAGGAAGCGCCCGCGCGCGUGCGCAGCGAGCGACCCUGAGCUUUUGGGCGGGCGUCUUCUAUUUCACUGGGCACGACUGAGGAAAGAAGCGUCGGGCCCCUGCGGGCUGAGCCUCGGCGGACUGUUCCAGCUCUGCUCGCAUUCCCGCAGCGGCGCUACUUCCUCUAGCCGAAAAGCUCAGUUACCGCUGCGGAUCGGACGAGAGCUGCCGUUAAGGCAGAGAGGGCCAAGGAGCGAAGAGCCAGCUGCUCCGCAGGAGGCAGCUUCGGACACACACCCCUCGCGCUGAGAUGGAGCUUCAAUCCCCAUCCUUUGAGCUUGGGCUGCACUUACCCACGUGGAAAGUGGGAAAAAGCAACUUGAUAGUGGAGAAACCUGGCAAGCAGUGCCUCAGUGAGAUGAUCAAGGUUAACAUCAUCAAUGGUAAGUCAUAUUGAUAGCACGUACCCUUGAUAUGAUGUGAUGAGAAUGACACUUCACCUCUGUGGUCUUCCUCUCAAAAACCCAUUAACUCUAGUCUAAUUAUGAGAAAAACAUCAGAAAAACUCAAAUUGAUGGUCAUUCUACAAAACGCCUGACCAGCACUCCUCAAAACUGUCCAGAUCAUCAAAAACAAGGUCUGAGAAUCUGUCGCAGACCAAAGGAGGCUAAGGAGAUGUGACUACUAGAUGUAAUGUAGCAUCUUGGAUGGGGUCCUGGAACAGAAGAAGAGGUAAAAACUAGGAAAUCCAAAUAAAAUGUGGAGUUUGCUGAAUAGCAAC
Molecule: long non-coding RNA, 1029 nt
Filed under: Equus asinus (donkey)
Lineage: Eukaryota; Metazoa; Chordata; Mammalia; Perissodactyla; Equidae
Description: lncRNA (ENSEASG00005030482.1)
Source: RNAcentral